AUUGAACGCUGGCGGCAGGCCUAACACAUGCAAGUCGAGCGGAUGAAGGGAGCUUGCUCCUGGAUUCAGCGGCGGACGGGUGAGUAAUGCCUAUGAAUCUGCCUCGUAGUGGUGGAUGACGUCCGGAAACGGGCGCUGAUACCGCAUACGUCCUGAGGCAGAAAGUGAGGGAUCUUCGGACCUCACGCUAUCAGAUGAGCCUAGGUCGGAUUAGCUAGUUGGUGGGGUAAAGGCCUACCAAGGCGACGAUCCGUAACUGGUCUGAGAGGAUGAGCAGUCACACUGGAACUGAGACACGGUCCAGACUCCUACGGGAGGCAGCAGUGGGGAAUAUUGGACAAUGGGCGAAAGCCUGAUCCAGCCAUGCCGCGUGUGUGAAGAAGGUCUUCGGAUUGUAAAGCACUUUAAGUUGGGAGGAAGGGCAGUAAGUUUAUACCUUGCUGUUUUGACGUUACCAACAGAAUAAGCACCGGCUAACUUCGUG
This 484-nucleotide ribosomal RNA is filed under the name uncultured bacterium. Its description in RNAcentral is "partial 16S ribosomal RNA". It matches the Rfam family "Bacterial small subunit ribosomal RNA", at positions 30 to 507 of the family's 1533-position model. The record is from RNAcentral.